RNAcentral lists this small RNA (1866 nucleotides) under Pan troglodytes (chimpanzee). RNAcentral's name for it is "retained intron". The record is from RNAcentral. Lineage: Eukaryota; Metazoa; Chordata; Mammalia; Primates; Hominidae.
AUGGAUGGAUUCAUAGAUAAACCAACAAAAUGCAAGCAUAAGGAGAAGUGGAAUCAAUUCUAGUGCUGGCUUCUUGAAGACGCAUGUCUGAAGAGGUAAAUGGGGUCUUUGCUUUCUGCCUCAGUUUCUUCAUCCAUUGAUUGGGUGAAUAAAGCCUUAGUUUCCUCAGCUAAAAGGUGCCAAGUAGCACCAGCUGCUAUCCCUGGCCCAGGCUGGUGAUCAGGGGAGGAGAGACAAGGCUCUUCUUCUUCACAGCCUCUGUCCACCUGGAUCUGCCAGUGCUCCCUGGGUGCCCCCACGGGGCAGGCGCUGGGUGAGGUUCUUGGUCACAAAUCACCUCGUCUAAUGCUUGCCUCAACCCCCUGCCCUGGAGACCACAUCCCUCACGUUCCAGGUCAGGACUGUGGCCCCUCAGGGAGGUUAAGCAGCUUGCUAGAGGUCAGCGACUUCAGCCGAGGGCCUCCACCUCCAGGAGCUGUGCUUCCAGCCAGCCAGUGAGAGCUGCCUGUCCUUGCCUCCCGCUCCCCCUCUCCCUCCUUCCUUAGCAUUUCUUCUCUUCUCCCUCCCUCUCCUUUUCUCCUGCCUGUGUUCUUCUAUCUUCCAUCUCUGCAGACCUUUGGACACAGCUGUGUGGAGCGAGAACGAGGAAGGGGAGGGGCACAGGUAGCCCCUGUGUCUCUGAUGCCCACGUUGCUGCGUUGCUGUUCUGGGCUUCUAGGAGAGGAGUUUAUUCGGCUGAGGAGCAACACAGCCACCUUUCUACUCCAUCCAAGAAACAGCUCCUUCCCCAGCAGCCCACAGGGGCUGUGCGGGGGACACAGUGUGGGCUCGGUCUUGGCGUGGAGGCCCCCAGGCUGUCCUUCACCAUGUGCCUGUUCCCUCAGAUUGCUGAAGGGAUGGCAUACAUUGAGCGCAUGAAUUCCAUCCACCGCGACCUGCGGGCGGCCAACAUCCUGGUGUCUGAGGCCUUGUGCUGUAAAAUUGCUGAUUUUGGCUUGGCUCGAAUCAUCGACAGUGAAUACACGGCCCAAGAGGGGGCCAAGUUCCCCAUCAAGUGGACAGCCCCGGAAGCCAUCCAUUUUGGGGUCUUCACCAUCAAAGCAGACGUGUGGUCGUUUGGAGUCCUCCUGAUGGAAGUUGUCACUUAUGGGCGGGUGCCAUACCCAGGGAUGAGCAACCCCGAGGUCAUCCGCAACCUGGAGCGCGGCUACCGCAUGCCGCGCCCCGACACCUGCCCGCCCGAGCUGUACCGCGGCGUCAUCGCCGAGUGCUGGCGCAGCCGGCCCGAGGAGCGGCCCACCUUCGAGUUCCUGCAGUCGGUGCUGGAGGACUUCUACACGGCCACCGAGCGGCAGUACGAGCUGCAGCCCUAGCCGGCCGCGCCAGCCUGCGCCCCGUGCCCACCUCUGCGCGGACGACCCCGACUUCCGUGCCAGCCCAGAUGGGCCGCGAAGGCGGGGUGUCGCCUGUGCCCUUUUCUCAGACCCGGAAACCAGUGGGCAGAGGCAGCUUCGCAGGGGGUCCCCGGACGGACUCCUUCACCGACUGUAUCCUCGGGCGAGUUACGCGGCCUCUCUGUGCCGCUUCAUUUGUAAAGAGGGCUGUAACAGUGACCUCGCACGGUCAUCCAGAGUACUAAGCCCCAGUAAGGUGUUCAGGACUGGUAAGCGACUGUCAUCAAGUAUGGUCCCCGUGCUGGGCACCCCCCGUGCUGGCCGCGUCCCCGCCUCUGCGCCCUGCGUGGACCCCGCCCUGCCCCGCUGCAGAAGCCAGACUGGGUCCCGCGGACGCCAGCAGGGGCAGCCCCAGCCUAGGCUGCGCUCCAGCACUGCGGGGCUUUUCUGCAAUAAAGUCACGAGCGUUCGA